Non-coding RNA from Populus trichocarpa (black cottonwood), 113 nucleotides. The record is from Rfam. Lineage: Eukaryota; Viridiplantae; Streptophyta; Magnoliopsida; Malpighiales; Salicaceae.
UAAUCUGUUUAGAGCAAAUCUUCAUCUAGUUAAGACAAGCACAUCCCAACUGCUUAGAAUCACUUAUGAUAACUACUAUGUCAACAAUAAUUUUUUAAAUUUUUAAUUGGAGC